Molecule: long non-coding RNA, 1790 nt
Organism: Aedes albopictus (Asian tiger mosquito)
Lineage: Eukaryota; Metazoa; Arthropoda; Insecta; Diptera; Culicidae
Exons: 3
Source: RefSeq, a predicted model, not a curated record
GACGAAUUUAUACAGACGUAAGAGUGCGGUGCAAACCGCCUAAAAUUUUCGGUACCAUGUUUUCUUCUUCUUGUUGGGCAGCUUUUUUUCGAGGGGGCUAGUUAUUACCAUUUUGCGGUAGUUUUUUACGCAUUGGUUUACCCCUCUCACAAGCUUUUGACAGUUUUUCGCCGAUUUCGCCGCACAACAAAAGACUUGUUUUGUUUACCUUUUUUGAUGGUGCGUGGUCCGCUAAUCGCUCUUCGGUGGAUGAGAAUCCGAUCCGGUGCCGCGGUUCUGGGAGGACGGCCAGAGGGACAUAAAUGUCAUAACGUGUUAUCACCGGAUGUGCACACAAGGGCCAGCGAAUACCUCCCGGUGAUUGUUAAAGAUCAAUGAUAAUGGGCAAACUCUUCGGUGUAUCCGUGGUAGAAGAAGUCAUCCAAUCACCUGCGGUAUUGGAGGAUAUUGUAGAAGCACCGGCUGAACCACCUAGAACGAUUGUUCCGGUAAGCUCGCCUUUCGCAGUGGAUGCCACCCAAGAUGCCACCGGUAGCGAUUCUGCUGAAUUCCACUCCGGACAAUAAUCGUGGUGCGCUUUCAAUGCCAAGACACCUCACUGACCAUGUAUGGUGAGUCUUGAACCGGAAUGUGAUCAAAUCAGGAACUCAUCCCACAAAAAAACGCAUGUUGCACGUGAAGUUCUUCACUGAUAACGGUUGCCGGGCGUGGAUUACGGAAACGAUAAGACUCCCCUACAACACCGUUCAACAUUACAAAUCACUCGUGAUACUCAGUUUUAAUCGAUUCGCAACAAGUUUAUCCAGAUGUAGCAUCAUGAAAUAUGGCAGGAGGCGGUUCGUCAAGCAGAUGACACCCAGUAACUUCCAUCGGAGGUCCGUGAGGUCCGUGAAAAUCGCUUCCAGGAGUUGCUGUAUGCAGAUCGUGCUUAACCGAAGCUACCCGAUUGACGACGGACCAAAGGCGUUUCUCUCGGCUAUCACAGGACGAGUCGUACGAAUCUGGCGCCCGAAAGCGACACCGUUCCCGCACCCCAGAGAGUCCCGCCUACGAGCCGCUUCCAAUUUCUCCAACAGCACCGAAACGACCUGGCGGAAACGGCCAGUGGCACCACCAGCGAGGAUAUCACCGAAAUGGUAGAAUUCGACAAGAAAAUUUACACCAGCUUCCUGAACAUUACGCGCGAAGGUCAAACGGAAACCGAAUUGGACAAAAAGCUACAGAAGAUAUGUGUGCCCUAUGGAUGCAUGCCAUUGCUAAUGGUGUCAGAUUGGCCAGCCGUCUACGCUCACAGGCUUUACGGCGGUUGGAACGGGAAUUUGGAAUCGACGAGGUCAAGAAGGUACUUCCGUCGACCAUCGUUUGUCAGCAGCCCUAUCUGGAGGAUCGUUGCCGAUUCGAUGUCAAUGCCUUGUGAUAGUAAAUACAUGUAUCUAAAUAAAAAUACUUAGGUGGGUGGGGCGUUUAUGUGGCCUCUAUAAUCCAUCCGAAAAGUCUCCAGGAUUCUGAACAAGACAACCUAUACAUCUAAGGGUUCUACAAUAGUGAUCUGAAUUUGUCGCUAAGAAGUGUCACCAUGUUCUCUCAGAAUGCGAUGCAGAACACUUGAAACUUAUGGAGUUACUCCAGUGGUCCUUGAAACAGUCUUCCACUAGAUUUUUAUUUGACUCAGAAGGUUCACCACUUCCUCCCAAAUUGCAUGGUGAUGCAAGACAUCAUGCUUCACUCAAAGAAGCUUUGUUCAGGCUAGGUUCACCAAGUCCUCCUAAAAUGCAUGGUGAUGCAAGACA